GUACACAAAAAUGCACAUACUGUGAGCUCGAUGAGUAGGGCGGGACACGUGGUAUCCUGUCUGAAUAUGGGGGGACCAUCCUCCAAGGCUAAAUACUCCUGACUGACCGAUAGUGAACCAGUACCGUGAGGGAAAGGCGAAAAGAACCCCGGCGAGGGGAGUGAAAAAGAACCUGAAACCGUGUACGUACAAGCAGUGGGAGCCUCUUAAUGGGGUGACUGCGUACCUUUUGUAUAAUGGGUCAGCGACUUAUAUUCUGUAGCAAGGUUAACCGAAUAGGGGAGCCGAAGGGAAACCGAGUCUUAACUGGGCGUUAAGUUGCAGGGUAUAGACCCGAAACCCGGUGAUCUAGCCAUGGGCAGGUUGAAGGUUGGGUAACACUAACUGGAGGACCGAACCGACUAAUGUUGAAAAAUUAGCGGAUGACUUGUGGCUGGGGGUGAAAGGCCAAUCAAACCGGGAGAUAGCUGGUUCUCCCCGAAAGCUAUUUAGGUAGCGCCUCGUGAAUUCAUCUCCGGGGGUAGAGCACUGUUUCGGCAAGGGGGUCAUCCCGACUUACCAACCCGAUGCAAACUGCGAAUACCGGAGAAUGUUAUCACGGGAGACACACGGCGGGUGCUAACGUCCGUCGUGAAGAGGGAAACAACCCAGACCGCCAGCUAAGGUCCCAAAGUCAUGGUUAAGUGGGAAACGAUGUGGGAAGGCCCAGACAGCCAGGAUGUUGGCUUAGAAGCAGCCAUCAUUUAAAGAAAGCGUAAUAGCUCACUGGUC
RNAcentral lists this ribosomal RNA (771 nucleotides) under Escherichia coli. Its description in RNAcentral is "partial 23S ribosomal RNA". It matches the Rfam family "Bacterial large subunit ribosomal RNA", at positions 375 to 1150 of the family's 2925-position model. The record is from RNAcentral. Lineage: Bacteria; Pseudomonadati; Pseudomonadota; Gammaproteobacteria; Enterobacterales; Enterobacteriaceae.